Molecule: long non-coding RNA, 372 nt
Filed under: Phasianus colchicus (ring-necked pheasant)
Lineage: Eukaryota; Metazoa; Chordata; Aves; Galliformes; Phasianidae
Description: lncRNA (ENSPCLG00000003043.1)
Source: RNAcentral
GGCAUGAAUUUUUAAUUAUGUAUUCUGAAUUAUUUCCAAUUAGGGCUAUAUUUCAGGACAGAUGACCUUCCAAUAUUUCCUAUGUAUCUGGAAUACAAACUGCUCAGGCUGGAGGAUGUGGCACAUCUUUGAGGCACUCUUGUUACAGAAAUGAUGCUGUGCAAGUGUUCGAGAUACCAUGGUGGAGCUUUGGCUUGUGCAUUACUCGGGAGGACUUCAGCACAUGAUCCCGUAGCUGAUCUGGAAAGAUGGCGGAAGCUUGACCCUGAGGCAGAGGCUGGCCCAAAGCUGUAGAUCUUGAGAUCAAACUCCAUAGCAGAUGACCAUCUUGAGCAGGCAAUAAAUGUUUCAUGCGUUUUUUUUUGAAAGACA